GAUGAAGAACGCAGCGAAAUGCGAUAAGUAAUGUGAAUUGCAGAAUCCAGUGAAUCAUCGAAUCUUUGAACGCGCAUUGCGCCCGCCAGCAUUCUGGCGGGCAUGCCUGUUCGAGCGUCAUUUCAACCCUCGACCUCCCCUUGGGGAGGUCGGCGUUGGGGACCGGCAGCACACCGCCGGCCCUGAAAUGGAGUGGCGGCCCGUCUGCGGCGACCUCUGCGUAGUAAUACAGCUCGCACCGGAACCCCGACGCGGCCACGCCGUAAAACACCCAACUUCUGAACGUUGACCUCGAAUCAGGUAGGACUACCCGCUGAACUUAAGCAUAUCAAUAAGCGGAGGA
RNAcentral lists this unclassified non-coding RNA (343 nucleotides) under soil metagenome. RNAcentral's name for it is "partial contains 5.8S ribosomal RNA, internal transcribed spacer 2, and large subunit ribosomal RNA". The stretch from base 1 to 120 matches the Rfam family "5.8S ribosomal RNA", at positions 35 to 154 of the family's 154-position model. The record is from RNAcentral.